RNAcentral lists this ribosomal RNA (498 nucleotides) under uncultured bacterium. RNAcentral's name for it is "bacterial SSU rRNA". It matches the Rfam family "Bacterial small subunit ribosomal RNA", at positions 28 to 526 of the family's 1533-position model. The record is from RNAcentral.
GAUGAACGCUGGCGGCGUGCUUAACACAUGCAAGUCGAACGGAGCACCCUUGAAGGAGUUUUCGGACAACAGAUAGGACUGCUUAGUGGCGGACGGGUGAGUAACGCGUGAGGAACCUGCCUUGGAGAGGGGAAUAACACAUGGAAACGUGUGCUAAUACCGCAUGACAUACAUUUAUCGCAUGGUAGAUGUAUCAAAGAUUUAUCGCUCUGAGACGGCCUCGCGUCUGAUUAGCUAGUUGGUGGGGUAACGGCCCAUCAAGGCAACGAUCAGUAGACGGACGGAGAGGUGGACCGGCCACAGUGGGACUGAGACACGGCCCAGACUCCUACGGGAGGCAGCAGUGGGCAAGAUUGGGCAAUGGGGGAAACCCUGACCCAGCGACGCCGCGUGAGUGAAGACGGCCUUCGGGUUGUAAAGCUCUGUUGCAGAGGACGAUAAUGACGGUACUCUGUGAGGAAGCCACGGCUAACUACGUGCCAGCCGCCGCUGUAACAC